AGAGUUUGAUCAUGGCUCAGAACGAACGCUGGCGGCAGGCUUAACACAUGCAAGUCGAACGCCCCGGAAGGGGAGUGGCAGACGGGUGAGUAACACGUGGGAACGUGCCCUAAGGUUCGGAAUAUUCCCGGGAAACUGGGAGCAAUACCGAAUGUGUCCGUAAGGAGAAAGAUUUAUCGCCUUAGGAUCGGCCCGCGUCGGAUUAGCUUGUUGGUGGGGUAAUGGCCUACCAAGGCGACGAUCCGUAGCUGGUCUGAGAGGACGACCAGCCACACUGGGACUGAGACACGGCCCAGACUCCUACGGGAGGCAGCAGUGGGGAAUCUUGGACAAUGGGCGCAAGCCUGAUCCAGCCAUGCCGCGUGGAUGAUGAAGGCCUUAGGGUUGUAAAAUCCUUUCGCCGAGGACGAUAAUGACGGUACUCGAGAAGAAGUCC
RNAcentral lists this ribosomal RNA (436 nucleotides) under uncultured Microvirga sp. RNAcentral describes it as "bacterial SSU rRNA". It matches the Rfam family "Bacterial small subunit ribosomal RNA", at positions 8 to 493 of the family's 1533-position model. The record is from RNAcentral. Lineage: Bacteria; Pseudomonadati; Pseudomonadota; Alphaproteobacteria; Hyphomicrobiales; Methylobacteriaceae.